GACAGAGGGGGCAAGCGUUGUCCGGAGUUACUGGGCGUAAAGGGCGCGGAGGCGGUCUGCGGCGUCGGCGCUGAAAGCGCCCCGCUUAACGGGGCGAGGCGUGCCGAUACGCGCAGACUUGAGGCGAGCAGAGGGUGGUGGAAUUCCGGGUGGAGCGGUGAAAUGCGUAGAGAUCCGGAGGAACGCCAGUGGGGAAGCCGGCCACCUGGGCUCGUCCUGACGCUGCGGCGCGACCGCGUGGGGAGCAAACCGG
RNAcentral lists this ribosomal RNA (253 nucleotides) under uncultured bacterium. RNAcentral's name for it is "partial 16S ribosomal RNA". It matches the Rfam family "Bacterial small subunit ribosomal RNA", at positions 524 to 776 of the family's 1533-position model. The record is from RNAcentral.